UAGGAAGGGGGCUAGCGUUGUUCGGAAUUACUGGGCGUAAAGCGCACGUAGGCGGAUUGGCAAGUCAGGGGUGAAAUCCCGGAGCUCAACUUCGGAACUGCCUUUGAUACUGCCUGUCUAGAGUCCGGAAGAGGUGGGUGGAAUUCCUAGUGUAGAGGUGAAAUUCGCAGAUAUUAGGAAGAACACCGGUGGCGAAGGCGGCCCACUGGUCCGGUACUGACGCUGAGGUGCGACAGCGUGGGGAGCGAACAGG
Molecule: ribosomal RNA, 253 nt
Filed under: uncultured bacterium
Lineage: Bacteria
Description: partial 16S ribosomal RNA
Rfam family: Bacterial small subunit ribosomal RNA
Source: RNAcentral